UUCGCAAUGCCCGAAAGGGUGAACGAGCGACGCCGCGUGCGGGAUGAAGGGUUUCGGCUUGUAAACCGCUUUUCUUUGGGAAGAAGGUCUGUCUCGUGAAGAUGGGCUCGACGGUACCAGAGGAAUAAGCCUCGGCUAACUCCGUGCCAGCAGCCGCGGUAAGACGAACCGUGCGAACGUUGUUCGGAUUCACUGGGCUUAAAGGGCGCGUAGGCGGGCGGUCAAGUCAGGGGUGAAAUCUUUACGGCUCAGCCGGAAAAGUGCCUUUGAUACUGGCCGUCUCGAGGGAGGUAGGGGCAUGCGGAACUUCCGGUGGAGCGGUGAAAUGCGUAUAUAUCGGAAGGAACGCCGGUGGCGAAAGCGGCGUGCUGGACCUCUUCUGACGCUGAGGCGCGAAAGCCAGGGGAGCAAACGGGAUUAGAUACGCCGGUAGUCCUGGCCCUAAACGAUGGGCACUAAGUAGAGGGGUUUU
This 472-nucleotide ribosomal RNA is filed under the name uncultured bacterium. Its description in RNAcentral is "bacterial SSU rRNA". It matches the Rfam family "Bacterial small subunit ribosomal RNA", at positions 364 to 832 of the family's 1533-position model. The record is from RNAcentral.